UCAGAACGACUUUCAAUCUAAUGUAUUUCAAUAGGAAGUAUUUUUCGUGCCUGCAGCACGUUUUUUUGUCCUAUUAUUUUUUCGUGUUUUCCAGCACAAAUUUAAUCUAAUGUAUUGCAAUAGUAUAUACCCGGGAGCUGUAUUGUUUUACUUUAUUUGUCAUUAAUUUAUUACACUUUAAGCGCUACUUUACUCAACAUUUAAUCAGGAGACGUUUAUCCUUUUUUAUUUGUUUAAUAUUCUGCAUGAUGAUCGACAUUGUAAACCAUCGUCAGCAGUACAUAAUUGUUAAUUUACGAGACUGCAGAGUUUUGCUACUGCAAUCGUUUCCAAAUGUUGCCGUUUUUUCUGAGAAAUAUUGAUUUUUUUUCGAUCGGUUUCGUGUGUCAAAUACAAGAUUAAAUACUACAGUACCCAUGAGCCUUAUCGACAUCUACUAUGGUAAAGGCACCAGCUAAAACUACAUGUGGGCCCGCUGCAGAUUACAAUAUUUUCUCAACACAUGAACACUAACGUGUGCUUGAUAGUUCAACAAUACGAUGUUAUGGCCAUCAAAUUUGAUUGUUUCUACUUUGAUUGUAAAAAAAAGUCCGUUUCGGACGCCUGCAUUUCCCAGAAUCCUCUCUGCCUCCGUUGCUAUGGAAUCUGAGCCAGUCCUCUUUGCUAUUGGGUGAUUUCUUCUUCGGUACUCGUAAUUGACUGGGAUUCUCUCAUUACGCGUAAAUCACUGUCCAGAUCCUGUCAAUCGAAUCACCUGUUACAACUUAGAUUUAAUGUUGCUUAUUUUAUAAACCCAAAUGCAAUUUUAAGACCAAUCUAUCCUCUCUUUCUUUAUCAUUUUCUGUCUAUUUCUUGCAACCUAUCUCUACAUACUGCAUCUGUUGUACCUGUCUGUCCAGCUGUGUGUUUGUCCUUCUGUCUUUGUCUGCUUUGCAAUGGCCACCAGAUAUACCCCUCACAAACAGGAUCCCCACUACCAAGAGGGGAGGCUCAUGGCUCUUGAGCUGAACCAUGACCACAUUCUAGCUGAAGCCAAGAGAGCAGCUGUGGAGACGAAAUGUUUAUGCCCUAGAAGAGACCCUUCACAGACCUCUAAAAGGAUCUUUGUUGGCUGGGGCAAGCCGAGGGGGAGGCAAGGAGGGUGACGCCAAGCCUCAGCUACAGGUGAAUUUUACAGGGUUGAGUGCUUCCUGUCAUCCAGUGUGGAGAUUCCACCUAACUGUACCCUCAGCAAAACUAAAUCCUCAUGAGGAAUUUGGUGCAGAGAGUGGUUCUGUGGGGACCCUGAUGUAUUACGUCACAAAAAACAGCCACUCCACAAUAGGGAAUGUGUAAUUAAUAGUUUUUUUAAAGGCAUCCGUCCAACCAAAUGCAUCAU
Molecule: non-coding RNA, 1378 nt
Organism: Misgurnus anguillicaudatus (oriental weatherfish)
Lineage: Eukaryota; Metazoa; Chordata; Actinopteri; Cypriniformes; Cobitidae
Source: RefSeq, a predicted model, not a curated record